ACGCUGGCGGCAGGCCUAACACAUGCAAGUCGAGCGGCAGCGGGGGGAAGCUUGCUUCCCCGCCGGCGAGCGGCGGACGGGUGAGUAAUGUCUGGGGAUCUGCCUGAUGGAGGGGGAUAACUACUGGAAACGGUAGCUAAUACCGCAUGACGUCGCAAGACCAAAGUGGGGGACCUUCGGGCCUCACGCCAUUGGAUGAACCCAGAUGGGAUUAGCUGGUAGGUGAGGUAAUGGCUCACCUAGGCGACGAUCUCUAGCUGGUCUGAGAGGAUGACCAGCCACACUGGAACUGAGACACGGUCCAGACUCCUACGGGAGGCAGCAGUGGGGAAUAUUGCACAAUGGGGGAAACCCUGAUGCAGCCAUGCCGCGUGUAUGAAGAAGGCCUUCGGGUUGUAAAGUACUUUCAGCGGGGAGGAAGGGGAGCACUUUAACAGAGUGUUUCAUUGACGUUACCCGCAGAAGAAGCACCGGCUAACUCCGUGCCAGCAGCCGCGGUAAUACGGAGGGUGCAAGCGUUAAUCGGAAUGACUGGGCGUAAAGCGCACGCAGGCGGUCUGUUAGUUGGAUGUGAAUCCCC
Molecule: ribosomal RNA, 580 nt
Filed under: Dickeya sp. E92
Lineage: Bacteria; Pseudomonadati; Pseudomonadota; Gammaproteobacteria; Enterobacterales; Pectobacteriaceae
Description: bacterial SSU rRNA
Rfam family: Bacterial small subunit ribosomal RNA
Source: RNAcentral